Molecule: ribosomal RNA, 247 nt
Filed under: uncultured bacterium
Lineage: Bacteria
Description: partial 16S ribosomal RNA
Rfam family: Bacterial small subunit ribosomal RNA
Source: RNAcentral
UACGGAGGGGGCUAGCGUUGUUCGGAAUUACUGGGCGUAAAGGGCGCGUAGGCGGUGCGGUAAGUUAGGCGUGAAAGGCCCGGGCUCAACCCGGGAACUGCGCUUAAGACUGCCGCGCUGUGAGUCCGGGAGAGGAUGGCGGAAUUCCCAGUGUAGAGGUGAAAUUCGUAGAUAUUGGGAAGAACACCAGUGGCGAAGGCGGCCAUCUGGCCCGGUACUGACGCUGAGGCGCGAAAGCGUGGGGAGC